Non-coding RNA from Ictidomys tridecemlineatus (thirteen-lined ground squirrel), 956 nucleotides. The record is from RefSeq and is a predicted model, not a curated record. Lineage: Eukaryota; Metazoa; Chordata; Mammalia; Rodentia; Sciuridae.
GAUCCAGAAGUUAAGGAAGUGCUCAGAGAACAAUAAGGCACAGAAAAAGAUCUCAGGACCUGCCUCAACAGGACUCCCAUCGGCCAAAUCUGGGAAAACCUGAACAUCAAAAACAAAUGGGGCACACAGGACACAGGAAGCCUGGUCACACCAAAUGACAGGAAGCUGAUCCCAGGAGGCAAAGGGAAAUAGAUGCCCAAUCCUUCAGGCUGGUCACUAAGGAACCCCUGAUGGCCAUGUCCUGCCCCUGGCCCUUAAAACAUUACAUGUGGAUGAACACCAUUAUGAAUGACAACAAGAUGAUCAGCAAACACCUUAUUUUGUUUCUACUAUAAAAUGGGGCUGCAUCUCCUUUGCUACCUUCACACCUUUCAGAUGAUUCUGUCUGACACUUGUGAGUACUCACCAUGUGCCAAAUACUGCACCCAACUCUCUCUCUCUCUCUGUAUCACCUCAUGGACAUCUGCCUAGUGACUCUGCAAGAUAGGAACUAUUUCUACCUUCAUUCGAAGAUAAGAAAACUCAGACUCAAAAUGUGUAUCAUCUUGCUAGAGUAAAGCAGUAAAUGAUAGGUCUGGAAUUCAAAAUUGGGCUUUCAGACUCCACCUGCUGACCUAGUUACAUAGUGCAUGAGUGUAUUACUCAGGGUUCUCCAGAGAAACAGAACCAAUAGGAUACAUGAUAGAUACACACACACACACACACACACACACACACACACACACACACAAAUUGGCUUACAGGGCUGUGGAGGUCAAGAAGUCCCAGGAUCUGCUGUCUAUACACUGGAGAAAGGAGAAAGCCUGUGGUGUAAUUCAGUCCAAUUCCAAAGGCCUGAAAAACAGAGGAAGUAAUAGUGUAAGCAAGUCUCUAAGUCCAAUGAUGCCAGAACCAGAAUCUCCAAUGUCUGAGAGAAGAAGAAUAUGGAUGGCCCAGCUCAAAGAAUGGGAGAGGGC